GGAAUAUUGGACAAUGGGCGAAAGCCUGAUCCAGCAAUGCCGCGUGUGUGAAGAAGGCCUUCGGGUUGUAAAGCACUUUCAGUUGGGAAGAAAAGCCGGAGGUUAAUAGCCGCCGGUCUUGACGUUACAGACAGAAGAAGCACCGGCUAACUCUGUGCCAGCAGCCGCGGUAAUACAGAGGGUGCGAGCGUUAAUCGGAAUUACUGGGCGUAAAGGGCGCGUAGGCGGUUUGGUAAGUCGGAUGUGAAAGCCCUGGGCUUAACCUGGGAAUGCCAUUCGAUACUGCCUGACUCGAGUAUGGUAGAGGGAAGCGGAAUUCCGGGUGUAGCGGUGAAAUGCGUAGAGAUCCGGAGGAACACCAGUGGCGAAGGCGGCUUCCUGGACCAAUACUGACGCUGAGGCGCGAAAGCGUGGGGAGCAAAC
Molecule: ribosomal RNA, 423 nt
Filed under: uncultured bacterium
Lineage: Bacteria
Description: bacterial SSU rRNA
Rfam family: Bacterial small subunit ribosomal RNA
Source: RNAcentral